RNAcentral lists this transfer RNA (72 nucleotides) under Chelonia mydas (Green sea turtle). It matches the Rfam family "tRNA". From Rfam's summary of the family: Transfer RNA (tRNA) molecules are approximately 80 nucleotides in length. Lineage: Eukaryota; Metazoa; Chordata; Testudines; Cheloniidae. The record is from Rfam by way of RNAcentral.
GGUAGUGCAACCUAGUGGAUAAAGCACUGAAUUAGGUCUCCAGAGACCUGGGUUCAAUUCCCAGCUCUGCUG